Molecule: long non-coding RNA, 7172 nt
Filed under: Capsicum annuum
Lineage: Eukaryota; Viridiplantae; Streptophyta; Magnoliopsida; Solanales; Solanaceae
Description: long non-coding RNA (CANN_LNC017032)
Source: RNAcentral
CUUCAAGAACACCUUUAAAAAUUUAAAGUCAAGCUUCUACAUCAAAUCAAGCCUCAUAAGGUAUGUGGGGUAAUGAACAGGGGUAUCCUUUCACACUUGUGCCUAAAUUGCAUGAUUUUAAGAUAUUAUUUAAUUAUUUUUAAGUACGGUUCAUACCCAAGUUCAUAUAAUCUUGAAGUAUGUGAUUAUUAUAAGAUUUAAAGCUUUAAGUAUAUCAAGAAGUGCUUAUGUUUAUGUUUUUAACUUACAUGAGUUAUAUAAUGAAUGAUAUUGCACUAUCUUGACUUGUUAUUGUUGGAAUAUUUUAAGAAUUAUAUUGACCUUGACGCUUUAUUAUGAAUUGACAUGAGUUUAAAGUAUGGGUUUUAAGCCAUAAGUUUGAGUAUUGAGAUUUCAAGAAGAUUAUGCUUUCAAGUAUUCUUUGAUAAGCUUAUUUUAAGAUUUAAAGAAAGAAUUUAUCUUUUGAUCCUCAGCUAAUAGAUGGAAUCCAAAUUUAUUCAUUUUGAUUAUAGUUAAAGAAAAAAGAAGCAUAAAUAGUUUUCAUUAUAAACCCUUAUGCUAUUUUAAAGUAGAUUUCCUAGAGAGCAAGCAUAUAAGUAAUAUGGGAGUAGAAUUUAGCACCGAGUUGGGUAUGAGGCCAAGGUCACAUGCCCCGGAACUAUGUGUCACCAUAGGUUUAUGUCCCAAUAUGGGUUAAUUAUAGCCAUCACUCUAGUUAGGUUCUAUUGUAAUGGCAAAGGUAGAAUAGCUAAACCAAUAUAGGUGUGAGACAUUGGACUCCAUGAUAGCUCACAUGGUUUAUGUCAGUUAGAAGAACCUCCCAAAAAAAAGAAUAAAAGUGCAACUUUUAGAAUUAAGUUUUAUGGCUCACAAAGUUUAUUCAGUAUGCUUUACUAUCCCUGAUUUAUGAUUUUCAGCUUUCAGUUAUUCAAGAUCAAGGUGAGUCAUUUACACUUAGCAUGCAUCAUUUAAAAGUUUAUAUAAAUGUUGAGUUACUAUUUUACUUGUGCAUUCACCCCCCACAAACUCAGUACAUUCUAGAAGUACUAAUCAAUAUUUAGGUGUAUGUGCUACAUUAUCUAAUGAUGUAAGUACCAGUUGUAGCCCACACAUCAUAAUCUGAUAUUGUGCAGCCUCCAAUCAGCAGGUGAUGAGACCUUUUGAUUUGAUGGCUCAAGUUAAUCAUAGUUUGAGUAGCAUCUUGUUUUAUUUAUUCAGUCGUAUUGAUUUGGGAUAGAUGGGAUUCAUGUCUCGACUACCUAUAGUCCAUACUAGUAGAGGAUUCAUAGACAGUUAGUAGAGUUGAUGUAUUUGAUUUUAGUUUUGUUUCGUAUAACAAGAGUUGAAAUUAUUUUUAAUAUUUUUGUUCGAAGAUAUUCUGCUAUUGACUUUUCUUCAUCUUAUUUCUUUAAGAUUUAUGUAUCUUAUUCAGUUGCUCAUAAUUUAUGCCAGUACAAGGGUUAGCUUUGGAUCACUUGUGGUUCUAAGAACCAUGUGACAUCCAAGGUUAGUCUCGGGGCAUUACAAACUUGUAUUAGAGCCCAUAGUUCAAGGUCCUCAUGUGUCUAUGAAGUAGUGUCUAGUAGUGUCUUGUAGAAUGGUACGGAGAUGUUUGUACUUUUCUUCGAGAGACUACAGGGCAUUUAAGAAAUAUUUUUCUUCUUCAUGCUCUAGGUCGUCCUGUAAAGUUGUUCUCUAUGAAACUUUUGUUGAUUCAUGUGUUACUCCAUAAUCCUUCAUCUAUAACUUAUUCUUGAGAUAACAUGAUUAAUAAGUUCUAGUUCCUCCCAAGGUGAUGUUCUCAGAUUUACUAUCAGUAACUUUAUAAGUCACACAAGGGGCUUGAGAGGAGCUCACUAGUGUGUUAUAAGUUUCUCAGGUUGAAAGUUAUUUCCUCAUCCUUAUGAGUUGUUCAGUUAAGACAAAGUAAGAUAUGUAUUCAGAUUUCUUGUUAACCCUUCAAUACAAAUAGUACUCAUGAGAGGAGAUAGUGUGAACCUAGAUUGGUAAAUAGAGUUUGCAUUUGAGGGAUAUUGCAACCUAGAGUGUUAUGAUUUAUAAGUAGUAGAACCUUCUUAUAGUUGAAAGUAUGGGUUUAGAAGUGUAAUGAAAAGAAAGGUGGGAAUGGCAAUUGAUUAAAAGUAAAUAGAUAAAUUUAUGCAUGGUAUCGAGUUUGUGUUAAGGUAACACGUCCUUAUGUGUCAACUUAGGGGUAAUAAAUGUAGUACUAUUUUCCUAGUGGAAUGUAGAGAAAGAGUUAUUAGUUAAGGUGAAUUGUGCUCUGCUUGAAGUAUGAAGGGAGAUCUUGAUGGUAUGUUAAGGUAUUAGAAAGGUAUGGAUCAUUAAUUAAGGUAUUAGGCUAUUAAAGAUUGUUAAUGUAGGGUUCCCCAUGUGGUUGUAAAAAAAAAUAAGUUGAGGUUUGUAGAGCUAGGGGUAUAAUUUAAAUAUAUGGAUGGAUAAGUAAUAUAGGUGUGUGGAAUAGGGAUGUUCUUAUGGAUUGUAAUUAGAUAGACUAUAAGAUUAUGAUCAAAUAUCAUUACUAUAAGGUUCUAGUGGACUAGUGUUUCCUAAUGUUUUGACAUGUAGGAAUUGUGUGUGAAUUUGUGAUUAAUCCUGGCUAGCACUAGACACUAAGUUUGAACAGUGGAUGAUCAUAAAAGUGAAAAUAAUGAUUUCUUUAUUAGUGAUACUAGAUAAAUGAAAGUGAUCUAAUAGGCUUGAACAGUGUAUGCAAGAGUUUGAGUUUAUUUAUUCGUAAUUAAGUACAAUCUUCUAAGUAUAAUAUAGAGGUGUGCCCAAGGUGAUAUGGGGAUUGAAUUAUUUUCUAAGAUUAUUAAGUGUCAUAUGUAUUUAGAUAAUUCCCAUGAGCUUUUAAGUGUGAAUAAAGCUAGUCAUAUAAUAUAUGGUAUUCUUGAUGGCUAUGUUAUAGAUUUAGGGAUAGAGGAUGCUGAGCCUUUUGGUGGGAAUUAAUUUAGUGAGACAGAUUAUGUGCUUAGUGAGGCAGGUAUGUUUGUUGAAUUAAUAGGCUAUAAGUCUAUGAUGAUGACUAUUGAAGCUAAAAAAAGUUAAGGCUGGUAUGUACUAAGAGAGUGACCAAGAGUUUAUUUAGGUGAGUGAACAUUUAUGUAUAGACCAUUAGAGCAAAGAAAUAAUGGUUCAUUCUUGAGAAUAUGGAGUAGACCCAUAAUCUUAGAAUGUCAACUUUGAUCUAAGGGGGAGAUGGUAGCGUGAAGAACCAAAUCAAGUUUUGAGAAUUAGAUUAUGAUACAUGUCAAUAAGAGUUGUGAUGAUAUAGUUAUCCCUUCUUACUCUAGAGUGUUCCUUGGAUUUCAGUCAUUAUCACACUAAACUCAUGUCUUGCGUGACAGAUCCAUGCCAAAGGACAAUACGUAUAGACUCCAUGCAUUUUCAAAUCCAUUCUUAGUUUCUAGAUAGUAAGUAACAACUUCACUCUGUGAUUUGAGUCAUCCCUCAUAAAUCUAUGAAACUCCGGUCUUAUGUUGAAUAGCUUAUGAUAAGUAUAAACUUAUGUUUCAGAGUAUGACCAGUUCUCAAAACACAUGAUACUAGUGAAAUUCUUAUUGUAUCAUGUACGUCCUCAAAUUAGAUCUCUUUAAUGAAUCCAUGCCUUUGACAUUCUAUUUUUCAAGCUUCAGUUAAGUCUCAAAGUUAUGUAUAGUAUUUUUUUCAUGCUUCAAGUCCUUAUGUGUUAUCCCUUCAGUAACCUCUUCCUAUGUUAAGAAGUGGUGAUGAUAAUGGAUGAGCAAUGGUUUAGAUAAGAAGGAGUUGAUAAUCCUCACUAACAAAAAUUAUUUAUGCUUUCUAUCUAAGGCUAAAGGAUGAAGGAAUAUUGAGGUAAAUCUUUCGUAUAUGUGAUAGUUAGUUGAGAAUUUUGGGUUUGUCAUCUUAAGCAUAGUGUAAGAAAGAUAUUGUUCAUAGAAGAUUAGAGAAUAUGAGAAGUAUGCCUUUAUGGGUGUUUUCCUUAAAGUUCAUAUGUGGUUAUAAUGAUAUGGUUAAAUGUCAUGUUGGGAUGUAAGUGGAGGAAUGCAAUAUGCACUAGUGAAUCCAUAAUUAGAGUUCAGAGUUAGUCAUUGAAGUGGUAAGGCAUGUUAUGCUUAGGGUGUGAGCUCUCGAAGAGACAUAAAAGAUUGAAUCAUGUGGUUUAGACUAGUAUUAUGGUGUAGUGUGUUAUAUCUUGUGAUUUCGAGUUAGGCUUGAUCAUGGUGAGAAAAUUUAGUUCAGUUUAAACUUUAGUAGAUGGAUUUAUCAAUGCCCAUGUGAAAAUUUUAAAUUGAAUCAAAUGAGUAUGGUAUUUAAAAGGAAUAGUAUAGUUGAGAGAGUAUUUGAGAAGUGUUGCUAAGAUUGAAAGUAAGAAGUUGCAUUGCCUAAGGCCUAGUAAUUCUAUCCUAACUUAUCAUUUAUAGGUCUAUGUUCCAUGCUAUAGAGUUGUAACAAUGUUUUGAUUCCUUAGUCAGAUGUCUUGUUCAGAUCCUUCCCAAAAUUCUUUGCUCCAUCAUAUUAUUAGAAUCUCUUAGAAGAGUGUUAGAGAAAUACUCCAUUUGAGUAUGGGCAGUCCGUAUGGUCCAAUUCAUAGAGCCUGUAAUCCAGUUUAGCAAUCAAGCAGAUAAGCUCCUAUAGAUUUCCAACUUUCCAUUUAGUCUUACUACCCCAAAAUUUCUUAAAUAAGGCCAUUCCAUGAGGUAAAAUGUUCGCAUUCAUGGAAAUUACGAAUUCAGCUCAGUUCAUGUACCUUGCAUCAGUUUUAGAGAUAGAUAUUAAGUCAUGAUUAGCUCGUGAGUGUCUCGUGCAUCAUCUCAAUCUUUCCUUAGUAUUUAAGCCAUGUCAGUAUUAUUCGAGGACGAAUGUUCCCAAGGGGGAGAUAUUAUAAUACCCCGUAUUAGGCUUAGUUUAGUUCAACUCCUAAUGCUUGCAUAAGAGACUUAGAACCUGAAAAUUUAGCUAAGUGUUGAAGACUUAGCCUUAUUUUGACUUCUUAACUUUGAGGAUUUUUAAGUUGACCUUCCAGACUCCGAGAUGAUGCUUUUUUGAGAUGAUUCAUGUUCAGGGAUAUAAGGAAAUGUAUCGGGUAAGUUUCAGAAUUUUUGGAUGAGGUUUGGGUCGUGUUUAGAUUUUAAUUCCAGCAGCUUAAUACGAUUUCACUGCAUCGCACUGGGUAUUAGGUCAUUUACCAUCACCCCAAGUCAUGAAAACAUAAGAUUAAGAGAUGGUUUAAGCAUUAUAUACCUAUUCUCAAUCAAUUUUCUCUCCAAGAAACCCUAACAUAACUCCAAAAACUCCAAAACUCCAUUGCAUUCUCUUCAAGAUAAUCAAGAAUUUUACGCCUUUAAUCUAAGAACUUCAAGAAUAAGCCUUCAAGAACAUCUUUAAGAGUUCAAAGUCAAGAUUCUACAUCAAAUCAAGCCUAAUAAGGUAUGUGGGGUUAUGAACAAGGGUAUCUUUUUACCUUUGUGUCAAAACUGCAUGAUUUUAAGAUUUUAUUUAAUUGUUUUGAAUUAGGGUUCAUACACAAGUUUAUAUAUGCUUAAAGCAUGUGAUUAUUAUGAGAUUUAAAGAUUUAAGUAUAUCACAAAGUGCUUAUGUUUAUGUUUUUAACAUACAUGAUUUAUAAUAUCAAUGGGAUUGCACAAUCUUGACUUGUUAUUGUUGGAAUAUUUCAGGAAUUAUAUUGAGCAUGACACUUUAUUAUGAAUCGACAUGAGUUUAAAGCAUGUGUUUUAAGCCCUAAGUUUGAGUAUUGAGAUUUCAAGAAGAUUAUGCUUUCAAGUAUUCUUUGAUAAGCUUAUUUCAAGAUUUAAAGAAAGUAUUGAUCUUUUUAUCCUCAGCUAAGAGAAGGAAUCCACAUUUAUUCAUUUUGAUUAUAGUUUAAAGCAAAGAGAAGCAUAACCAGUUUUCAUUGUAAAUCCUUAUGCUAUUUUAAAGUGGAUUUCCUAAAGAGCGAGCAUAUAAGUAAUAUGAGAAUAGUAUUUAGCACCAAGUUAGGUAUGAUGCCAAGGUCACAUGCUCCAAAAUUACGUAUCACCGUAGAUUUAAGUCCCAAUAUGGGCUAAGUAUAGUGAUCACUCUAGUUAUAUUCUAUUUUGAUGGCAAGGAUAGAAUAGCUCUACCGAAGUGGGUGUGAGACGUUGGAAACCAUGAUAGUUCACAUGGUUUAUGUCAGUUAGAAGAACCUCCCAAAAGAAAGAGUAAAAGUACAGCUUUAAGAACUAAGUGUUAUGGCUCACAAAGUUUAUUUUGUAUGCUUUACUAUCCAGGAUUUAUGGUUUUCAUCUUUCAGUUAUUCAAGCUCAAGGUGAGUUAUUAACACUUAGCACACAUCAUUUAAAAUUUUAUAUGAAUAUUGAGUUACCAUUUUACUUAUGCAUUCACCCCCACAUACUAAGUAUAUUCCAGAAGUAAUAAUCCAUAUAUAUGUCUAUGUGUCAUAUUAUCUCAUAAUGUAGAUACCGAUUGUAGCCCACACAUUAUAAUUAGACAGUGUGCAUAUUCUAGUCAGCAGGUGGUGAGUCUUUUUGAUUCGACGGAUCGAGUCAAUCAUAGUUCGAGUAGCAUCUUAUUGAUUCCGGAUAGCUGGGGGUCAUAUCUCGGCUACCUGUAGUCAAUACACUACAAAAAAUGGGUCUAAAUACGGGGGUUUAUUUGCGGGGGUUAUUUUAACCCCUGCAAAAUCAUAUUAAAUAUGGGGGUUAAAAAAGUUCCGCUAAAAAUUAUAUAUUUGUGGGGUUUUUAACCCUCGCUAUCCACCCAAAAAAAAUAGUGCCACCUCAAAAAAUAUUUUCCCAUUUUUUCCCCAAUAUUCCCCAAAACAUUUCUCUCUCAUAUUUUUCCCCAAUUAGAUUUGAUAGGAAACUCUCUUAGAUCUCACUAAAAAGCCAUGAAUUUCUCUCCACCAUCACCACCGACACAACAACAGCUAUCGACACCACCGCCGACCUAGCCUCAAACACCUUUACAGCCGCAAACACCACCACCACCACCGCAGCAGCAACCUUGAAUAGAAGUGCCACCAAAGUGCACCCAGCAACCAAAAUCCUCCCCAAACCCAACCACCCCUUUCGCCAUCGAAUUCAAAGACAAAGACGUCACUCCCACAACAACUAUCUCCUUUUGCCUUACUAAACCUAAAUUUGUCUACGUUCCCAACUAUUCUCGUA